Otolemur garnettii (small-eared galago) is the source of this 107-nucleotide small nuclear RNA. NCBI's taxonomy places the organism in Eukaryota, Metazoa, Chordata, Mammalia, Primates, Galagidae. The record is from Ensembl.
GUGCUCGUUUCGGCAGCACAUAUACUAAAAUUGGAACUAUACAGAGAAGAUUAACAUGGCCCCUGUGCAAAGAUGACAUGCAAAUUCAUGAAGUGUUACAUAUUUUU